RNAcentral lists this ribosomal RNA (372 nucleotides) under uncultured bacterium. RNAcentral's name for it is "bacterial SSU rRNA". It matches the Rfam family "Bacterial small subunit ribosomal RNA", at positions 30 to 402 of the family's 1533-position model. The record is from RNAcentral.
AUUGAACGCUGGCGGCACGCCUAACACAUGCAAGUCGAGCGGCAGCGAGGUGAGUAGCGAUACUGACUGUCGGCGAGCGGCGGACGGGUAACACGUAGGAACUUGCCCAGUAGAGGGGGAUAACCAAUGGAAACGUUGGCUAAUACCGCAUGAACUCGAAAGAGGAAAGCUGCUCGAAAGGGUGGCGCUAUUGGAGAGGCCUGCGUCUGAUUAGCUAGUUGGUAGGGUAAGAGCCUACCAAGGCGAUGAUCGGUAACUGGUCUGAGAGGACGACCAGUCACACUGGAACUGAGACACGGUCCAGACUCCUACGGGAGGCAGCAGUGGGGAAUAUUGGACAAUGGGCGCAAGCCUGAUCCAGCCAUGCCGCGU